Molecule: unclassified non-coding RNA, 378 nt
Filed under: plant metagenome
Description: partial contains 5.8S ribosomal RNA, internal transcribed spacer 2, and large subunit ribosomal RNA
Rfam family: 5.8S ribosomal RNA (bases 1-105)
Source: RNAcentral
GAAAUGCGAUAAGUAAUGUGAAUUACAGAAUUCAGUGAAUCAUCGAAUCUUUGAACGCACCUUGCGCUCCUUGGUAUUCCUUGGAGCAUGCCUGUUUGAGUAUCAUGAAAUCUUCAAAGUAAAUCUUUUGUUAACUCAAUUGGUUUCUACUUUGGUAUUGGAGGUCUUUGCAGCUUCACACCUGCUCCUCUUUGUUCAUUAGCUGGAUCUCAGUGUUAUGCUUGGUUCCACUCGGCGUGAUAAGUUAUCUAUCGCUGAGGACACUGUAAAAGGUGGCCAAGGUAAAUGCAGAUGAACCGCUUCUAAUAGUCCAUUGACUUGGACAAUACUUUUAUGAUCUGAUCUCAAAUCAGGUAAGACUACCCGCUGAACUUAAGC